RNAcentral lists this ribosomal RNA (559 nucleotides) under Doratomyces sp. F277950. RNAcentral describes it as "eukaryotic LSU rRNA". It matches the Rfam family "Eukaryotic large subunit ribosomal RNA", at positions 47 to 626 of the family's 3401-position model. The record is from RNAcentral. Lineage: Eukaryota; Fungi; Ascomycota; Sordariomycetes; Microascales; Microascaceae.
UAAGCGGAGGAAAAGAAACCAACAGGGAUUGCCUCAGUAACGGCGAGUGAAGCGGCAACAGCUCAAAUUUGAAAUCUGGUCCCCUCUGGGGGCCCGAGUUGUAAUUUGAAGAGGAUGCUUUUGGCGAGGCGCCUUCCGAGUGCCCUGGAACGGGACGCCACAGAGGGUGAGAGCCCCGUAUGGUAGGACGCCGAGCCUCUGUAAAGCUCCUUCGACGAGUCGAGUAGUUUGGGAAUGCUGCUCAAAAUGGGAGGUAAACCCCUUCUAAAGCUAAAUAUUGGCCAGAGACCGAUAGCGCACAAGUAGAGUGAUCGAAAGAUGAAAAGCACUUUGAAAAGAGAGUUAAACAGCACGUGAAAUUGUUGAAAGGGAAGCGCUUGCGACCAGACUUGCGCCCGUCGGAUCAACCGUCCCUCGUGGGCGGCGCACUCCGGCGGGCUCAGGCCAGCAUCAGUUUUCCUGGGGGUAGAAAGGCGGUGGGAAUGUGGCUCUUCGGAGUGUUAUAGCCCGCCGCGUAAUGCCCUCGGGGGGACUGAGGACCGCGCGUAUGCAAGGAUGC